RNAcentral lists this ribosomal RNA (1623 nucleotides) under Triticum aestivum (bread wheat). Its description in RNAcentral is "partial small subunit ribosomal RNA". Lineage: Eukaryota; Viridiplantae; Streptophyta; Magnoliopsida; Poales; Poaceae. The record is from RNAcentral.
AUGGCCUCCAAUAGGGCCCCUGGACCUGAUAAUAUCCCGGUAGAAUUCUACCAAGUGUGUUGGGAUAUUGUCAAAAACGAUAUCAUGGCCUUGUUUAGACACUUUCAUCAAGGGACGUUGGAUGUUCAGCGGUUGAACUAUGGGAUCAUCACGCUACUUCCGAAGAUCUCGGGGGCUGACAAAAUCCAACAGUUCAGACCCAUUUGCUUGCUUAGAUGCCCCUAUAAGCUUAUCACAAAAGUCCUAGAUCGCCGAGUCUCGGUGUAUGCUGACAAGCUAAUUAGUCCUGUUCAAAAUGCCUUUGUCAAAGGGAGGAGCAUUAUGGAUGGUGUUCUCUCACUUCAUGAAAUCCUUAAUUACACUCACAUGAAAAAGAGGGUUGGCAUGGUGUUGAAACUGGAUUUCGAGAAAGCUUAUGAUAAGGUUAACUGGGAUUUCUUGUUAGAAUGUCAUAAACUGCGGGGAUUCAAUGAAACCUGGUGCGGGUGGAUUAACCAGAUUCUUUGGAAUGGCACGGUUAGCAUUAAAUUGAAUAACUGUGUGGGGCCGUACUUCCAAAGUGCUAAAGGGGUACGACAAGGCGACCCUCACUCUCCAUUCCUGUUUAACUUAGCUGCCGAAUGCCUCACGAAAAUGAUCAAAAAUGCCCAACGUAAUAAGCUGCUGGUUGGUUUAGCUGCGGAUCUGAUCCCCGAUGGAGUUGCGAUUCUCCAAUACGCAGAUGACACAGUUAUCUGUCUCGAACAUGACAUCGACAGAGCAGUCAACCUGAAGUUGCUGCUGUAUAUGUUUGAAAUGAUGUCUGGGUUGAAAGUCAACUUUCAGAAAAGUGAGAUUUUGACUGUGGGGGGAGAUGAUGGUGUGAUUAAGCAAUAUGUCGACCUCUUCAAUUGUGAUAUAGGUAGCUUCCCCAUCAAAUACCUGGGCAUGCCCGUUAGUUAUACCACCUUGAGAAACUCUGAUUGGGAGUUCAUUGUCUGCAAAUAUCUAAAGAGAUUUGAAGCUUGGGUGGGCAAUGCUGCCUCCAUGGGAGGGAGACAUACUUUAUUAGACUCUGUUGUCACCCAGUUAUCGCUGUAUCAUAUGUCUAUGUGGUUGAUGAACAAGACGUUCAUUGAAAAAUUGGAUAAGCAUAGAAGAAGAUUCUUCUGGCAAGGGUGUAACAAGAAGAAAAGAUAUUACCUUGUGAAAUGGAGUAGAAUCUGCAGAUCUAAACAGAAGGGCGGUCUAGGGAUUAAAGAUCUGCGCAAACAGAAUAUCAGUCUGAUGGUAAAAUGGUGGUGGAAGCUAGAAACACAAAGUGGGGUGUGGCAAGACAUCGUUCGUGCUCGCUAUUUGCGGAAUAGGACAGUAGCUGAUGUUGGCCCAAGAUUUUCUGACUCUCCUUGUUGGAAAGCCCUGCUGAAAGUCAAGGAAAUUUAUAUGGCUGGUAGGAAGAUUAAUAUUGAAUCUGGGAACAUUGCUAGGGUGUGGAGUGAUCCUAUUAACGGACUGCUUCCGUUCAAGGAUCAAUACCCUCAGCUAUUUGACAUUUGCAAUAUUCCUGGAUGUACUAUCAAACAAGUGUUCGCUGUGGAAACUGGUUCCUUUUUCAGACGAAGGCUCACUCCUGCUCUACAUGAA